This 1092-nucleotide small RNA is filed under the name Pongo abelii (Sumatran orangutan). RNAcentral's name for it is "processed transcript". Lineage: Eukaryota; Metazoa; Chordata; Mammalia; Primates; Hominidae. The record is from RNAcentral.
CUUCUUUCUGCUUUCAUUUCUGAGUAGGGGUUGAGAGUAUGCAUUUUUCAUUUUAUGACAUCCUUAUCUACUUUUUCUUGUUUCUAUGAAGGAGGGCAGGUUAAUGUCAAUGACCUAACGAGUGUUCUACAAAACACUGGGUUCAGACUCGAAGCAAAAGAAAUCAAGGACCUGAAGACUCACCUGCCAGUGACUGGAAAAAAAGUCAGUGUCAGUAAUCUGGAAACUCUUCUAAAUAAUAUGGAAAUCGAAGUUGGGAAAGAGGAAUAUGAGGACCUACUGAACCAUCUGCCAGUUGAUGAAAAUGAAAUGGUUGAUGUGAAUGUGGUGAUGGAUGAAGCAAAAGUUUUUACAGGAGAAAAAGUUAAUGUCAGUAAUCUGGGGAAUGAGCUGAGGAAAAUGGGGCUCGUACUCACUGAUGAGGAGCACAAGAAGCUGCUGAAAACUCUGCCAAUUCACACUAGUGGAAAGGUAUAUAAGAAUAGAUUGCUCAAAGGUGUGAAGGCCCUCAACGGGCCAAGGGUCAAAAUAAAAAAAGUGGAGACUUUUUUGGAAAACAUGGGAACUAAAAUCAAGGAUGAGGAGCUUGAGGAACUCAUGACCCAACUACCAACUGAGGCCUCUGCUGGUGAUACCCUGGCAAACAGGGUCUGGAGUGGACCUCCAGCAAGCUCCAACAGACCUGCAGCUGAGGGAACUGAAUGAUAGAAGGAAAACUAACAAACAGAAAGGAAUAGCAUCAACAUCAACAAAAAGGUCAUCUACACCAAAACCCCAUCUGUAGGUCACCAACAUCAAAGACCAAAGGUAGAUAAAACCACAAAGAUGGGGAGAAACCAGAGCAGAAAAGCUGAAAAUUCUAAAAACCAGAGCACCUCUUCUCCUCCAAAGGAUCGCAGCUCCUCACCAGCAACAGAACAAAGCUGGACAGAGAAUGACUUUGACAAAUUGACAGAAGUAGGCUUCAGAAGGUCAGUAAUAACAAACUUCUCCAAGCUAAAGGAGCAUGUUCAAACCCAUCUCAAGGAAGCUAAAAGCCUUGAAAAAAGGUUAGACAAAUGGCUAACUAGAAUAAACUGUGUAGAGAAGACC